This 380-nucleotide unclassified non-coding RNA is filed under the name uncultured bacterium. RNAcentral's name for it is "contains 16S-23S intergenic spacer region". The record is from RNAcentral.
UCCGGUUUGUCACCGGCAGUUUCUCCAGAGUGCCCGGCUCUACCCGAUGGCAACUGAAGAUGAGGGUUGCGCUCGUUGCGGGACUUAACCCAACAUCUCACGACACGAGCUGACGACAGCCAUGCAGCACCCGUGCUGGCUUCCCCUUGCGGGGCUCGUCGCCCUUUCGGGUUUCUACUACCAGCAUGUCAAACCCAGGUAAGGUUCUUCGCGUUGCCUCGAAUUAAACCACACGCUCCGCUGCUUGUGCGGGCCCCCGCCUAUUCCUUUGAGUUUCACCGUUGCCGGCGUACUCCCCAGGUGGAUUACUUAUCGCUUGCGCUAAGACGCUGACUGUGUAUCGCCAACAUCGAGUAAUCAACGUUUACAGUGUGGACUAC